GACAGAGGUGCCAAGCGUUUAGGCGGAAUCACUGGGCUUAAAGCGUGUGUAGGCGGAUCGUUAAGUACCUUGUGAAAUCCCACGGCUCAACCGUGGAACUGCUGGGUAUACUGGCGGUCUUGAGCCACCUAGGGGCAACUGGAACAAGCGGUGGAGCGGUGAAAUGCGUAGAUAUCGCUUGGAACGCCAACGGUGAAAACAGGUUGCUGGGGGGUGUGCUGACGCUGAGACACGAAAGCCAGGGGAGCGAACGGG
This 255-nucleotide ribosomal RNA is filed under the name uncultured bacterium. RNAcentral describes it as "partial 16S ribosomal RNA". It matches the Rfam family "Bacterial small subunit ribosomal RNA", at positions 524 to 776 of the family's 1533-position model. The record is from RNAcentral.